This 484-nucleotide ribosomal RNA is filed under the name uncultured bacterium. RNAcentral describes it as "partial 16S ribosomal RNA". It matches the Rfam family "Bacterial small subunit ribosomal RNA", at positions 29 to 507 of the family's 1533-position model. The record is from RNAcentral.
AGUGAACGCUGGCGGCAGGCCUAACACAUGCAAGUCGAGCGGCAGCGCGGGGGCAACCCUGGCGGCGAGCGGCGGACGGGUGAGGAAUUCGUCGGAAUCUGCCUUUUUGUGGGGGAUAACGUAGGGAAACUUACGCUAAUACCGCAUACGUCCUACGGGAGAAAGUGGGGGACCGCAAGGCCUCACGCAGAAAGAUGAGCCGACGACCGAUUAGCUAGUUGGUGGGAUAAAGGCCCACCAAGGCGACGAUCGGUAGCUGGUCUGAGAGGAUGAUCAGCCACACUGGGACUGAGACACGGCCCAGACUCCUACGGGAGGCAGCAGUGGGGAAUAUUGGACAAUGGGCGCAAGCCUGAUCCAGCCAUGCCGCGUGUGUGAAGAAGGCCUUCGGGUUGUAAAGCACUUUUGUCCGGAAAGAAAUCCCUGGAGCUAAUACCUUCGGGGGAUGACGGUACCGGAAGAAUAAGCACCGGCUAACUUCGUG